This 118-nucleotide ribosomal RNA is filed under the name Lepisosteus oculatus (spotted gar). Lineage: Eukaryota; Metazoa; Chordata; Actinopteri; Semionotiformes; Lepisosteidae. The record is from RNAcentral.
AUGAGCAGCCAUAUCACCCUGCAACUCACAACUGGCAACCCACUGAAGCUAAGCAGGUGUGAGACCAGCCAGUACAUGGAUGGGAGACCUCCUGGGAAAACUAAGGUUGCUGCUGGAA